Molecule: ribosomal RNA, 456 nt
Filed under: Triticum aestivum (bread wheat)
Lineage: Eukaryota; Viridiplantae; Streptophyta; Magnoliopsida; Poales; Poaceae
Description: partial small subunit ribosomal RNA
Source: RNAcentral
AUGGCUGUUGCUGUGCCGUCGACGCUGCCGAUGAAGCUUAGGAAGGUUGAGCUCCGCGGCAAGGCGGCGGCGACGGGGGUUGCCGGCCGCGCGCGCGUGCUGGUGACGGUUACCGUCCUCGGAAGCGCUGGCCCUCUACGGUUCUUGGUCGACGAGGGCGAGUCGGUCUACGGACUAAUCCGUGCUGCGCUCCGCUGCUAUGCCCGCGAGGGCCGCAUGCCGCUGCUCGGCUCCGACGCUGCCAACUUCCUCCUCUACACAGCCAACGGCAGAUCCGACGCUCUCAAGGCCGACGAGAGGAUCAGCUUCAAUGGAUGCAGGAGCUUCAUGCUGUGGCAGAAGACUGUCGCCGACAACAAUGGGUCUGAGCCUAAUUCUAGCCCAGGCAGAAAGGGGAUCAGCGGCUGGAAAUUUGGCCUAAACAAGAUCCUUCUCAACUUCAGCUUCAAGGUGUGA